Molecule: long non-coding RNA, 226 nt
Filed under: Trifolium pratense (red clover)
Lineage: Eukaryota; Viridiplantae; Streptophyta; Magnoliopsida; Fabales; Fabaceae
Description: long non-coding RNA (TPRA_LNC011158)
Source: RNAcentral
CUUGAUGCAUGCAUCGCUGCAUUUUGACUCAAGAAUAUUGGUGUUGAUCUCACUCCUUCACAAAGUUACUACAAGAGUUCUUGGAAAUUUUCAACCAUACCUCAUCCUUUCGACAACUCUUUGUUUUUCCCAUCUGAGAAUCACUAUCAAAGAUAUUUUGAUUCAAUUUUUAGCUCUGAAUUCCUAAACAAAAAUUGCUCAAAAUACCAAUCCCAAAAACCCCGAA